This 1023-nucleotide long non-coding RNA is filed under the name Anser cygnoides (Swan goose). RNAcentral's name for it is "lncRNA (ENSACDG00005000827.1)". The record is from RNAcentral. Lineage: Eukaryota; Metazoa; Chordata; Aves; Anseriformes; Anatidae.
AUGGAAGGUUUGGCUUCGGCUCGUGGAAAUGGGGAAGCGCCGAUGUGCCGGGGCCGCCUUCCCCUGCAGCCCCGCGGGCCGGGGGAGGCUGCGGGCUGCCGGGGGCUGCGGGCCGCCCGGCACCGGGGGGUGCCCUCGUCGAGGAGCCCUCGGUGGCCGAACCGGGAGGAGGAGGAGGAGGAGGAGGAGGAGGAGGAGGAAGGGGGAUACCCGGCGGAGCUCCCCCUCGCUCUGCNNNNNNNNNNNNNNNNNNNNGCUGCCGGCUCCGCGCCGCCCUCCCGGCCCCGCUCCCCUCCGCGCCGCCAUUGGCCGCGCCCCGCCGCCAGUCACUGUCAGGUAGCGCCUCCCGCCCGCCCACCGCGGGGCCGCCCAGGUGCGCCCCGGCCGGGGCCGCCGCCGCUUCACGGCCCUGCCGCAGCGCCCCGCAGCGGGGGCUCUGGGGGCUCGGUGUGUGGGGGGGGACCCCGCCGCCCCCCCUCGUCCCUGCGGGUGCCCCGAAGGCAGGCUUCGUGCCUCUGCCGGCAGCCCCCAGCCCCGCGGUGGGCGCCGCGUAGGGCUUGUUGGUGCGUGUUUGGCGAGGAGGAGCUCGUUUUUGGGGCUGAGCGGUUCCGGUUGGGUUUUUGCGCUGUGGGGUUUAAUUACAGAGGAAAAACGGGGCGCGCCUCAUCGGGGAGAGGGGUAUUUAGAGAGCUCUUGUUGAACAACGCCUGUGUAGGUGAGCCAAGAAGCCAGAGACACCUUGCCCGGCUCCCCGUUUCCCUCCGGGGUGACGUUCGAGUUGCUUGGUUAGCAGAUAUUAUUGCUUCAGAAAGCCACAAAGAAAAUAACAUGGCAGUUAUGACACAUAUUCUCAGCUUUGAUUUGCCUGGCAGUUCUAGGGGAUGUUUGGUUGGCCGUCCUUGUGGUAUUUUCCCUGAACAUGAGAAGGCAUCGUACGUGACUGGCCUUCAGUACGACGGCGUGAGUCUUGUUCCAACAGCCGUGGUGAGCUCCUUGUGGUGCCACCAUCCUCUGGUCCCAUGA